UAAUACGUAGGGGGCAAGCGUUGUCCGGAUUUAUUGGGCGUAAAGAGCGUGUAGGCGGCCAGGUAGGUGGGUUGUGAAAACUGGAGGCUCAACCUUCAGACGUCGACCCAAACCCCCUGGCUAGAGUCCGGAAGAGGAGAGUGGAAUUCCUGGUGUAGCGGUGAAAUGCGCAGAUAUCAGGAAGAACACCCGUGGCGAAGGCGGCUCUCUGGGACGGUACUGACGCUGAGACGCGAAAGCGUGGGGAGCGAACAGGAUUAGAUACCCUGGUAGUCCACGCCGUAAACGAUGGGUGCUAGGUGUGGGGGGUGUCGACUCCCUCCGUGCCGAAGCUAACGCAUUAAGCACCCCGCCUGGGGAGUACGGCCGCAAGGCUA
Molecule: ribosomal RNA, 377 nt
Filed under: uncultured bacterium
Lineage: Bacteria
Description: bacterial SSU rRNA
Rfam family: Bacterial small subunit ribosomal RNA
Source: RNAcentral